RNAcentral lists this ribosomal RNA (242 nucleotides) under uncultured bacterium. Its description in RNAcentral is "partial 16S ribosomal RNA". It matches the Rfam family "Bacterial small subunit ribosomal RNA", at positions 338 to 572 of the family's 1533-position model. The record is from RNAcentral.
CCUACGGGGCGCAGCAGUAGGGAAUUUUCGUCAAUGGGCGCAAGCCUGAACGAGCAAUGCCGCGUGAACGAGGAAGGUCUUCGGAUCGUAAAACUCUGUUGUAGGGGAAAAAGAGCGGAGAGAGUAAAUGUUCUCCUUUUGAUGUUACCCUUCGAGGAAGUCACGGCUAACUACGUGCCAGCAGCCGCGGUAAUACGUAGGUGGCAAGCGUUAUCCGGAAUUAUUGGGCGUAAAGGGAGCGU